Molecule: ribosomal RNA, 373 nt
Filed under: uncultured bacterium
Lineage: Bacteria
Description: bacterial SSU rRNA
Rfam family: Bacterial small subunit ribosomal RNA
Source: RNAcentral
ACAUAGGGUGCAAGCGUUGUCCGGAAUUAUUGGGCGUAAAGAGCUCGUAGGUGGUUCGUCACGUCGGAUGUGAAACUCUGGGGCUUAACCCCAGACCUGCAUUCGAUACGGGCGAGCUUGAGUAUGGUAGGGGAGUCUGGAAUUCCUGGUGUAGCGGUGGAAUGCGCAGAUAUCAGGAGGAACACCAAUGGCGAAGGCAGGUCUCUGGGCCAAUACUGACACUGAGGAGCGAAAGUCUGGGGAGCGAACAGGAUUAGAUACCCUGGUAGUCCAGACCGUAAACGGUGGGCACUAGUUGUGGGAACCUUCCACGGUUUCUGCGACGCAGCUAACGCAUUAAGUGCCCCGCCUGGGGAGUACGAUCGCAAGAUUA